Molecule: non-coding RNA, 111 nt
Organism: Acanthosepion pharaonis
Lineage: Eukaryota; Metazoa; Mollusca; Cephalopoda; Sepiida; Sepiidae
Source: the annotation of a GenBank genome assembly
ACAGCAAUAUCACGUUGAAACAUCGUUCUCAGCCGACCACCGAAGUUAAGCUACGCCGAGUCUGUUCAGUACCUACAUGGGUGACCGCUUGGAAAUACCAGGUGCUGUAAG